CAUGCAAGUCGAACGCGAAAGGGGCUUCGGCCCUGAGUAGAGUGGCGAACGGGUGAGUAACACGUGGGUGAUCUACCUUCGAGUGGGGGAUAACGUCCCGAAAGGGACGCUAAUACCGCAUGACGUUCUGGGUUUGAAGACCUGGAAACCAAAGCUGGGGACCGCAAGGCCUGGCGCUAGAAGAGGAGCCCGCGCCUGAUUAGCUAGUUGGCGGGGUAACGGCCCACCAAGGCGACGAUCAGUAGCCGGCCUGAGAGGGCGGACGGCCACACUGGGACUGAGACACGGCCCAGACUCCUACGGGAGGCAGCAGUGGGGAAUUGUUCGCAAUGGGCGCAAGCCUGACGACGCAACGCCGCGUGGAGGAUGAAGGCCUUCGGGUCGUAAACUCCUGUUGAUCGGGAAGAAUGGGCUCCGGGUAAAUAUCCCGGAGCAGUGACGGUACCGAUUGAGGAAGCCACGGCUAACUCUGUGCCAGCAGCCGCGGUAAUACAGAGGUGGCAAGCGUUGUUCGGAAUUACUGGGCGUAAAGGGCGCGUAGGUGGCCUUCUUAGUCAGACGUGAAAUCCCCAGGCUUAACCUGGGAACUGCGUCUGAUACUGGAAGGCUCGAGUUCGGGAGAGGAAUGUGGAAUUCCAGGUGUAGCGGUGAAAUGCGUAGAUAUCUGGAGGAACACCGGUGGCGAANGCGGCAUUCUGGACCGAAACUGACGCUGA
RNAcentral lists this ribosomal RNA (716 nucleotides) under uncultured bacterium. RNAcentral's name for it is "bacterial SSU rRNA". It matches the Rfam family "Bacterial small subunit ribosomal RNA", at positions 54 to 749 of the family's 1533-position model. The record is from RNAcentral.